GUAGGGUCCCAUGCUCCAGGGCUACCAGUAACUAUGCUGAGUAAUUAAGGUCCAGUCAUCCACGCAGCUGGCUAUGAACACUGGUCCCAAAAUAUCUGUCUGCAGAAGUCAUUGUCAUUGGAGACAGAAUCUAUGGAGUUCAUCAGGAAUCACCAAGAAAACACCAAAUUACAUAAAUCUUAGUAUCUUUUCGUUUUCAUAUGCUUUAAAAGAGGUACAUUUCAAAAUUUGUAACUGAAAAAAGGGGCCCAGAUACCAACCUUCUCGAAGCAGACUGAAAGACUUGUAUUCAUUUCAA
This is a long non-coding RNA of Harpia harpyja (harpy eagle), 298 nucleotides long. RefSeq lists it as uncharacterized. The transcript is spliced from 2 exons. The record is from RefSeq and is a predicted model, not a curated record. Lineage: Eukaryota; Metazoa; Chordata; Aves; Accipitriformes; Accipitridae.